UAAUCUCAAAUCAGGCAGGAUCACCCGCUGAACUUAAGCAUAUCAAUAAGCGGAGGAAAAGAAACUAACAAGGAUUCCCUUAGUAACGGCGAGUGAAGCGGGAAAAGCUCAAAUUUAAAAUCUGGCGAGUAGUCUCGUCCGAAUUGUAAUUUAGAGAUGCAUUUUAGUACUAAGCCCUCUCUUUAAAGUCCUUUGGAACAAGGUAUCAUAGAGGGUGAGAAUCCCGUAUGAGGAUAGGGCUUUAGUGCAUGGAAAGUGCAUUCAAAGAGUCGAGUUGUUUGGGAUUGCAGCUCAAAAUGGGUGGUAAAUUUCAUCUAAAGCUAAAUAUGAGCGAGAGACCGAUAGCGAACAAGUAGAGUGAUCGAAAGAUGAAAAGAACUUUGAAAAGAGAGUUAAAUAGUGCGUGAAAUUGUUGAAAGGGAAGCGCUUGUGAUCAGACAUGCCUUUAUAGGAGAUGCCAUUGUUUCGGCAUUGGCAGUAUUAUCCGAAUUGGCAGGCCAGCAUCGGUUUCAGUUACUGGAUAAAACUGGAAGAAGGUAGGCUCUCUUCGGAGGGUUUUUUAGCUUCCAGUAGCUGCAGUGACCGGGACCGGAAGGGAAAUUGGGUCUUUGAAGACCUUAUGAUGUUGGCAGAAAUGGUCCUAAGCGACCCGUCUUGAAACACGGACCAAGGAGUCUAAUAUCUAUGCGAGUGUUUGGGUGGAAAACCCAUACGCAGAAUGAAAGUGAAUUAAAGGUGGGAGCCUUUUUGGGUGCACCAUCGACCGGUUCUCUUAUGAGGACUGAGUAAGAGCAUAGCUAUUGGGACCCGAAAGAUGGUGAACUAUGCCUGAAUAGGGUGAAGCCAGAGGAAACUCUGGUGGAGGCUCGCAGCGGUUCUGACGUGCAAAUCGAUCGUCAAAUUUGGGCAUAGGGGCGAAAGACUAAUCGAACCAUCUAGUAGCUGGUUCCUGCCGAAGUUUCCCUCAGGAUAGCAGAAACUCGUCAGUUUUAUGAGGUAAAGCGAAUGAUUAGAGGACUUGGGGUUGAAACAACCUUAACCUAUUCUCAAACUUUAAAUAUGUAAGAAGCCUUUGUUGCUUAAUUGAACACGGGCGUUCGAAUGAGAGUUUCUAGUGGGCCAUUUUUGGUAAGCAGAACUGGCGAUGCGGGAUGAGCCGAACGCGAGGUUAAGGUGCCGGAAUACACGCUCAUCAGAUACCAGAAAAGGUGUAGUUCAUCUAGACAGUAGGACGGUGGCCGAUGGAAGUCGGAAUCC
Ribosomal RNA from Pneumocystis jirovecii, 1257 nucleotides. It matches the Rfam family "Eukaryotic large subunit ribosomal RNA", at positions 1 to 1269 of the family's 3401-position model. The record is from Rfam. NCBI's taxonomy places the organism in Eukaryota, Fungi, Ascomycota, Pneumocystomycetes, Pneumocystales, Pneumocystaceae.